Molecule: long non-coding RNA, 608 nt
Organism: Melopsittacus undulatus (budgerigar)
Lineage: Eukaryota; Metazoa; Chordata; Aves; Psittaciformes; Psittaculidae
Exons: 3
Source: RefSeq, a predicted model, not a curated record
CCGGCCCCGGUCCGAGCGCGGGUUGCCGCUCCCCGACAGCCAUUUUGGGGGUUAGACACCUCGCUCCCCUCACGCCCGCCUCCAAAGUUAGGGAAGCGGGAAGGGGGCCGGGAGCGGGGAAGGAGAGCUCGGGAGAACGACGACAAAGUGGCCGGAGCAGAGCCCGGCGAACAAAGAACUUCUCGCCCAAGUGGUCCCACAGAUUGCUCCCCUGGUAAUAAGAAAGAAGUCUGAGAAACCAUAAAUGAAUGUUACCACAAACGUUUUCCAUCAGGUCAAAAAGAUAAGGAAGCCACUACACUCAACUCGCAUCAAAAUUAAGACAGACAAGAGAUUUUAAAACUGAAGAGCAGACAGAAUGCUUUGAGCUCUACUUAUGAGAAACAAAAAAGGACUCCUGAUGCAUUCCUGAGCAGUGAAAGCCUAGAGAGAGGGGAAAUACAGAAACAACAACCAAGGUUUCUGCCUGUGCCUCUCUGAAUGGUCAGGCAGAGCAGAAAGUAAAAACCAACGGAGAGUGGGUAACAUUUGCCAUUUGAAACAUAUUGUAAAUGUUUCAGCACCUUGACAAUGAAGCACGUAACAGAAGCUCAGAGCAUCCAGGACCC